This 590-nucleotide long non-coding RNA is filed under the name Pan troglodytes (chimpanzee). Its description in RNAcentral is "lncRNA (ENSPTRG00000054405.1)". The record is from RNAcentral. Lineage: Eukaryota; Metazoa; Chordata; Mammalia; Primates; Hominidae.
GUUGUGUUUAGUGUAUACUGAUCUAUGAUAUACCUAGCCUCUAUCCUUAGCAGCGAGGAAAUCUCUUUCUGGAUUAGAACCCUGCCCCAACAACAACAACAAAAAUAAGCAGGGUGUAUUCCUAAAUUUGGUCUUGCCAAUCUCAUCUGUGGCAGCAUAUAAUUGAACCAAUUUUCACUUCAGUGAAGACAAUGGACUCAGCUACCUGCAAAGGACAUCAACACUAUGGAGAUGCUCUUUGCUUUGAUCUUGUCCUCCGCUGAAGACAUCAGGCUUAGCAACAUUCCUGCGUGUCUAGAAUAUCUGUUCUCCCUUUGCUCCAAGGCAAGUACUGUAUGUAGAUGUCUCCAAAAUUGAAAUACUUCACAACAGCAUACUUUGAUCCUGGAAUACAGUAAACAGCAUGAUAAAUGGAAUUGUCCGGGGCUGUGUGGUCCAGACUAAAAAACUAAUAGAAGAAGAAUCAUCUUAAAGAGGUAUCAACUCAGAAGAAAGCUUCGAAAGAGAUAAAUUUACAUAUAUAGAAUGACUGAUGUUUUAUUCAAAUCCUGCUUUAGCCAAUGCAGUCCUUGAUGAGGAGAUCAAAACAC